RNAcentral lists this ribosomal RNA (253 nucleotides) under uncultured bacterium. RNAcentral describes it as "partial 16S ribosomal RNA". It matches the Rfam family "Bacterial small subunit ribosomal RNA", at positions 524 to 776 of the family's 1533-position model. The record is from RNAcentral.
UACGUAGGGUGCAAGCGUUGUCCGGAAUUAUUGGGUGUAAAGAGCUCGUAGGCGGUCUGUUGCGUCGGCUGUGAAAACCCGGGGCUCAACUGCGGGCCUGCAGUCGAUACGGGCAGGCUAGAGUUCGGUAGGGGAGACUGGAAUUCCUGGUGUAGCGGUGAAAUGCGCAGAUAUCAGGAGGAACACCGGUGGCGAAGGCGGGUCUCUGGGCCGAUACUGACGCUGAGGAGCGAAAGCGUGGGGAGCGAACAGG